RNAcentral lists this ribosomal RNA (253 nucleotides) under uncultured bacterium. Its description in RNAcentral is "partial 16S ribosomal RNA". It matches the Rfam family "Bacterial small subunit ribosomal RNA", at positions 524 to 776 of the family's 1533-position model. The record is from RNAcentral.
UACGUAGGGGGCAAGCGUUGUCCGGAAUCAUUGGGCGUAAAGCGCGCGUAGGCGGCCCGGUAAGUCCGCUGUAAAAGUCCAGGGCUCAACCCUGGAAUGCCAGUGGAAACUGUCGGGCUAGAGUCCGGAAGAGGCGUGUGGAAUUCCUGGUGUAGCGGUGAAAUGCGCAGAUAUCAGGAGGAACACCGAUGGCGAAGGCAGCUCGCUGGGACGGUACUGACGCUGAGACGCGAAAGCGUGGGGAGCAAACAGG